RNAcentral lists this long non-coding RNA (1947 nucleotides) under Homo sapiens (human). Its description in RNAcentral is "non-protein coding lnc-PCCA-4:1". The record is from RNAcentral. Lineage: Eukaryota; Metazoa; Chordata; Mammalia; Primates; Hominidae.
UCAUCUGCAAACAGGGACAAUUUGACUUCCUCUUUUCCUAAUUGAAUACCCUUUAUUUCCUUCUCCUGCCUGAUUGCCCUGGCCAGAACUUCCAACACUAUGUUGUAUAGGAGUGGUGAGAGAGGACAUCCCUGUCUUGUGCCAGUUUUCAAAGGGAAUGCUUCCAUUUUUGCCCAUUCAGUAUGAUAUUGGCUGUGGGUUUGUCAUAGAUAGCUCUUAUUAUUUUGAGAUACGUCCCAUCAAUACCUAAUUUAUUGAGAGUUUUUAGCAUGAAGGGUUGUUGAAUUUUGUCAAAGGCCUUUUCUGCAUCUAUUGAGAUAAUAGAUGGUUUUUGUGGUUGGUUCUGUUUAUAUGCUGGAUUACAUUUAUUGAUUUUUGUGUGUUGAACCAGCCUUGCAUCCCAGGGAUGAAGCCCACUUGAUCACGGUGGAUAAGCUUUUUGGUGUGCUGCUGGAUUUGGUUUGCCAGUAUUUUAUUGAGGAUUUCUGCGUCAAUGUUCAUCAGGGAUAUUAGUCGAAAAUUCUCUUUUUGUUGUUGUGUCUCUGCCAGGCUUUGGUAUCAGGAUGAUGCUGGCCUCAUAAAAUAAGUUAGGGAGGAUUCCCUCUUUUUCUGUUGAUUGGAAUAGUUUCAGAAGGAAUGGUACCUGCUUCUAUUUGAUUCUUCUCUCUUUUCUUCUUUAUUAGUCUUGUUAGCAGUCUAUCAAUUUUGUUGAUCUUUUCAAGAAACCAGCUCCUGGAUUCAUUGAUUUUUUGAAGGGUUAUUUGUGUCUCUGUUUCCUUCAGUUCUGCUCUGAUCUUAGUUAUUUCUUGCCUUCUGCUAGCUUUUGAAUGUGUUUGCUCUUGCUUUUCUAGUUCUUUUAAUUGUGAUGUUAGGGUGUCAAUGUUAGAUCUUUCCUGCUUUCUCUUGUGGGCAUUUAGUGCUAUAAAUUUCCCUGUACACACUACUUUGAAUGUGUCUCAGAGAUUCUGGUAAGUUGUGUCUUUGUUCUCAUUGGUUUCAAAGAACAUCUUUAUUUCUGCCUUCAUUUCGUGAUGUACCCAGUAUUCAUUCAGGAGCAGGUUGUUCAGUUUCCAUGUAGUUGAGCGGUUUUGAGUGAGUUUCUUAAUCCUGAGUUCUAGUUUAAUUGCACUGUGGUCUGAGAGACAGUUUGUUGUAAUUUCCGUUCUUUUACAUUUGCUGAGGAGUGCUUUACUUCCAACUAUAUGGUCAAUUUUGGAAUAAGUGUGGUGUGGUGCUGAGAAUAAUGUAUAUUCUGUUGAUUUGGGGUGGAGAGUUCUGUAGAUGUCUAUUAGGUCUGUUUGAUGCAGAGCUGAUUUCAAUUCCUGGAUAUCCUUGUUAACUUUCUGUCUCGUUGAUCUGUCUAAUGUUGACAGUGGGGUAUUAAAAUCUCCCAUUAUUAUUGUGUGGGAGUCUAAGUUUCUUUGUAGGUCUCUAAGGACUUGCUUUAUGAAUCUGGGUGCUCCUGUAUUGGGUGCAUAUAUAUUUAGGAUAGUUAGCUCUUCUUGUUGAACUGAUCCCUUUACUAUUGUGUAAUGGCCUUCUUUGUCUCUUUUGAUCUUUGUUGGUUUAAAGUCUGUUUUAUCAGAGACUAGGAUUGCAACCCCUGCCUUUUUUUUGUUUUCCGUUUGCUUGGUAGAUCUUCUUCCAUCCUUUUAUUUUGAGCCUGUGUGUGUCUCUACACGUGAGAUGGGUUUCCUGAAUACAGCACACUGAUGGGUCUUGACUCUUUAUCCAAUUUGCCAGUCUGUGUCUUUUAAUUGGAGCAUUUAGCCUAUUUACAUUUAAGGUUAAUAUUGUUAUGUGUGAAUUUGAUCCUGUCAUUAUGAUUUUAGCUGGUUAUUUUGUUCGUUAGUUGAUGCAGUUUCUUCCUAGCCUUGAUGGUCUUUACAAUUUGGCAUUUUUUUGUGGUGGCUGGUACUGGUUUUUCCUUUCCAUGUUUAGUGCUUC